RNAcentral lists this long non-coding RNA (258 nucleotides) under Panax ginseng (ginseng). RNAcentral describes it as "long non-coding RNA (PGIN_LNC007313)". Lineage: Eukaryota; Viridiplantae; Streptophyta; Magnoliopsida; Apiales; Araliaceae. The record is from RNAcentral.
UUUUCUUUUAUGGGACUCAAAAGGUCUUUGCUUUAGACUAGUCCUAUUAAGUUGUAUUAGUUGAAUUUGUGUCAUCUGGUACGAAAAUUUACAUAGAAUGUUGCAUUUCCUAAUCUGGGUCUGAUGAGAUGUUGUUGGCCAACUAGAAUUUGUCAUAUACUCGUAUUCUUUGGUUGGAUUUCUGGCAAUGUAUGACAUGAUAGUUACUUGCAAUUGGGUAGUUGCCUUGUUGGAUCUUAUUAUAUAUAUACUUGUGCU